This 85-nucleotide transfer RNA is filed under the name Pseudoruegeria aquimaris. Its description in RNAcentral is "tRNA-Leu". It matches the Rfam family "tRNA". From Rfam's summary of the family: Transfer RNA (tRNA) molecules are approximately 80 nucleotides in length. Their secondary structure includes four short double-helical elements and three loops (D, anti-codon, and T loops). RNAcentral also lists the same sequence under 13 other names. Lineage: Bacteria; Pseudomonadati; Pseudomonadota; Alphaproteobacteria; Rhodobacterales; Roseobacteraceae. The record is from RNAcentral.
GCGGGUGUGGCGGAAUUGGUAGACGCACCAGAUUUAGGUUCUGGCGCCGCGAGGCGUGGGGGUUCAAGUCCCUCCACCCGCACCA